Long non-coding RNA from Scleropages formosus (Asian bonytongue), 401 nucleotides. RefSeq lists it as uncharacterized. The transcript is spliced from 3 exons. The record is from RefSeq and is a predicted model, not a curated record. NCBI's taxonomy places the organism in Eukaryota, Metazoa, Chordata, Actinopteri, Osteoglossiformes, Osteoglossidae.
AAAAAAAGUGUUUGAAUGUGUGAUUUUUGUAUUCUUGCUGAAUCUCCAGCUGUAUAACCCAGAAGACAAAGGCUGCGGCUAAUGAUGGCAUCAGUCACUGAAACGGAGAUAAAGAAGAGCUCCUGAAGUGAUUGACGGGAAGUGGUCAACCCUAGCAGACACUGAAUCGGCCGGUCACUCCAAUAGGGAACAACAAAAAGAUGUUUCUGUCAGGGAGUGAUACAAGCUUCAGACUCACAUAUACCAUAAGGAGAACACAGGGCAGCUUCAGCACUGGCAGGUUUUAAAGUGUGUAAUGUGCCUUUUGGGAGAAUCUCCUGGCCUUGACAGGCAACCAAGUGGUAUGAGGGGAUUUGCUUUGCAUUGAAGAAAUGAAUGCUGAUCACCCCCUGAGCCACCAG